This 497-nucleotide ribosomal RNA is filed under the name uncultured bacterium. RNAcentral describes it as "partial 16S ribosomal RNA". It matches the Rfam family "Bacterial small subunit ribosomal RNA", at positions 28 to 507 of the family's 1533-position model. The record is from RNAcentral.
GACGAACGCUGGCGGCGUGCCUAAUACAUGCAAGUUGAGCGCUGAAGGUUGGUACUUGUACCGACUGGAUGAGCAGCGAACGGGUGAGUAACGCGUGGGGAAUCUGCCUUUGAGCGGGGGACAACAUUUGGAAACGAAUGCUAAUACCGCAUAAAAACUUUAAACACAAGUUUUAAGUUUGAAAGAUGCAAUUGCAUCACUCAAAGAUGAUCCCGCGUUGUAUUAGCUAGUUGGUGAGGUAAAGGCUCACCAAGGCGAUGAUACAUAGCCGACCUGAGAGGGUGAUCGGCCACAUUGGGACGGAGACACGGCCCAAACUCCUACGGGAGGCAGCAGUAGGGAAUCUUCGGCAAUGGACGAAAGUCUGACCGAGCAACGCCGCGUGAGUGAAGAAGGUUUUCGGAUCGUAAAACUCUGUUGGCAGAGAAGAACGUUGGUGAGAGUGGAAAGCUCAUCAAGUGACGGUAACUACCCAGAAAGGGACGGCUAACUACGUG